Ribosomal RNA from Erinaceus europaeus (western European hedgehog), 110 nucleotides. The record is from Ensembl. Lineage: Eukaryota; Metazoa; Chordata; Mammalia; Eulipotyphla; Erinaceidae.
GUCUACGGCCAUACCAGCCUGAACACGCCCGAUCUUGUCUGAUCUCAGAAGCUAAGCAGGUUCGGGUCUGGUUAAUACUUGGAUGGGAGAAAGAUAGACAUCUGCAGACC